AUACGGAGGGUGCAAGCGUUAAUCGGAAUUACUGGGCGUAAAGCGCACGCAGGCGGUUUGUUAAGUCAGAUGUGAAAUCCCCGGGCUCAACCUGGGAACUGCAUCUGAUACUGGCAAGCUUGAGUCUCGUAGAGGGGGGUAGAAUUCCAGGUGUAGCGGUGAAAUGCGUAGAGAUCUGGAGGAAUACCGGUGGCGAAGGCGGCCCCCGGGACGAAGACUGACGCUCAGGUGCGAAAGCGUGGGGAGCAAACAGGAUUAGAUCCCCUGGUAGUCCACGCCGUAAACGAUGUCGACUUGGAGGUUGUGCCUUGAGGCGUGGCUUCCGGAGCUAACGCGUUAAGUCGACCGCCUGGGGAGUACGGCCGCAAGGUUAAAACUCAAAUGAAUUGACGGGG
This 395-nucleotide ribosomal RNA is filed under the name uncultured bacterium. RNAcentral describes it as "partial 16S ribosomal RNA". It matches the Rfam family "Bacterial small subunit ribosomal RNA", at positions 523 to 918 of the family's 1533-position model. The record is from RNAcentral.